This is a non-coding RNA of Macaca mulatta (Rhesus monkey), 5919 nucleotides long. Lineage: Eukaryota; Metazoa; Chordata; Mammalia; Primates; Cercopithecidae. The record is from RefSeq and is a predicted model, not a curated record.
UCCGGCCUGCGUGGCAGAGCAAGACUCCGUCUCAAAAAAAAAAAAAAAAAAAGUAACAAUUUAGUUUAUUUUACAAGGAUAAAGUCAUUACAUCUUAACACAGUCUUAAAGAAGAAACCAUUUUCCAAAAUAAGCAGCAGCGUGGCAACAGUUUGUGCUGCUGUGAAAACACCUAACAUCUCUGUACCUCAGACAGCAGGAUUCUCAUGACUGCAUCUGCGUUCAGUGGGCUGCAGAACCGUGACUGAAGUUUAUGAAGAAAGUCCGACCCCAUACUGAUAUACAAUUAGGAAGCGGUAUUUUCACUGUGUUUUCAGAUCACUUUAGUUAUUCUCUGCUGCCAAAUGUAACAAGUGGCACUUCCGUACAGGCUGUCUGCAACACAGUCUGUGCUCUGCUCGUUGGACCUUUCUGCCCCAAUUCCUUCUAAGUCGACUGGUCCGUCUUGCACUUGAAUGGCUUUUACCAGCACACGAUUUUGUAAUCACACAUUGGUUAGAUAACACUGAUUCAGAGUUAUGAGCAGCUUCCACAUUUCGUUAUAUGUAAAAAACAAAACAAAACAAAACCGCAUCAAUAUCAUUAAUCACAUGAGAAAGUGGUAGACACAAGAUUUUUAUAUUUUAAUAUUCGCUGGAAAGCUCAAAUGUCUAUCAUUGGGAAUAAUGUAAGGUACUUUCCUUGAGAUGAAAGUCAUUCUGUUCAUUUUUCAGGCCACACCUGCAAAUACCUCCAUCUGAAGUGGCAUCUUUUGUAAGUCAUUCUUUAUAUAAAGGCGGCCGUUAGUGGAACAAGUGGUUCUGCAGGUUCAUAGCUCAGAGGCACCAGUGCUCUCCCAAGAUAACCAUAAAAUCCGCAGAAGACGCACCUGUGCACACUUCCUGUUUCUCACUCAAAACAUUCCAGAAGGAACCCUGAAUCCCAAUGCCACAGCGGGACUGAAGUUUGCUCUCACCCACACAAUAAACCCAGGGAGAUCCCCCAGCCCCCACCCCGAGGCCCCAGCCUUGGUCCUCUGUCUGGUCUAGGAGGGCUCCUGCAGCUCCAGCCUAACAGGGAACAGAAGGCACCCACAUGUCAGAAAGCCCUCCCAAGGCCUGGCGAGCACUUCUGUUUAUGUGCCAGCCAAGUGCGUUUGACAAUUCUACAGCCAGCUGUAUGGCAGGCAGCGAGGUAUCCAGCAAAUACUCAGGGCUCACGUUACUGAGGAAGGAAGGUGGACAGCGAGGUACCCAGCAAGUACUCAAGGCUCACGUUAUGGAGGAGAAAGCCAGGCAGAUAGUGAGGUACCCAGCAGGGUUCACGUUACCGAAUAGGAAAGGAGGGUGGAGACAAGCGGGCUGGAACAGUCUGUCAUAAGCUUUAGCAUUUACAAGGCUCGCUGAAGAUUAUCCGAUUUGAUCUUAACAGCUCACAAGAUAGGCAGAGGCAUGACUGUUUUCACUUCAUAAAAAGAGAUCCCGAGAACUGAUGAUGACCACGUGCUCUUCCCAUAGGCUCCCAGAAAUCAUCCUCAGAUCAUCUCUCAGUUGUAUACAUGUGGUAAUAUCUCAGUCACGUCCCCUCUCUGCAGGGGAAUUUUACUGCCGCCCUGCUGUUCCUUCGCACCCCUGCCCUCUCCUGCAUUUCAGCCAUGCCCACCAUCCAUGGGGAGUCUGCACCACCCCACCCCCGCUGCUGCUGAUGGCUUGGGUCACGCUUACCUUUCAUUUCCACCUACAGGGACCUGUUCUUCCUUCAAAUGCAGCUCAAACUCACUCGUUGUGUGAAGCCUUUUCCAGCCAUCACAACCGUCAUGUGUAAAAUCAGUGUGUGGAAAGCUUCAUUUAGGAGGUGCUUAUGUUGCCUCACUGGCUGUGAGCAGGGCCCAAUUCUGAGCAAACCCGGUGGUCCCCUCUCCCCAUCUCUGCUCCAGUGCACUUAAAACAAGGAUUCCUGGAAUCACCUUUUUUGUCCAAUUCACGCAUGAGUCUGCCCCACACCCUGCAGAAAAGCCCUGGUGGUCGGCGGUCAGGGCUCGGGACCCCGAGGUGGGUAAGGAGAGCUUAGUGCCCUCUAUGGACUUGUCGCUCAGAGACCCGCGGCUGGAAGGGAAGAAACUUGCAUCCUGUGAAACAUCCAGGCCCUGAGACCCACUCAGGAGUGGAAAACGGGGAAGGAGCCUUGAACAGACCCUCGGGAGGGUAGAAAGCAGGAGUCACAGAGGCUACCAGGGAGAGAGGGAGGCAGGCAGUGAGGCCAGAGGUGAUGUGGCCGGGAGGGAGUUGAUGUGACCAGAGGUGAGGUGGUGGGGGGAUGACACGGUGUGGUGGGGGGAGGAGAUGUGGCCAGGGGCAACGUGGCCAGGGAAGGAGACAUGGCUGGAAGUGACAAGAGGGGUCUCCAGGCCUCAGACUGUGCCUCAAUUAUGGAUGACAUUUCAAUUAAGAUGUUGUAUCUAACUUUAACGAAAAGUAGCAAUUUAGAACCAUUGUGUACAUUUAAAGCACGGUACAAAUAGAGCCCGUUUUCCAAACCAAAGAACAGUGCAUUGAAGGAAAAAGUAAUAGCUCACCAAAAACAAAACAAAACAAAACAAACAAACAAAAAAACUAAUUAAAGAAAAAAUUCAUUUAAGAUCAGAAAUAAAGAGAUCCUACAGCUCUUCUAGUCCAAUCCCCACCCUAACGUGAAUGGGGGGAAAAAGGAAGUAGAUUCUAGUCAGUCAGAAUUAAAGGCAAAACCGAUCCACUUUACUUUCUACUGGACAGAAAACAAGAAGCUCAUCAAGGAAUCCCUACAAAAAAUAGCUUUAGUAGUUCCCAAAAUGCAAAAUUCACCUACAAAUUAAACCAACUGCUAAGUGUGUAUAGAGUAAUUUUUUUCAUUAUUGCCUUCCUCAUCCCCAGGGGCUUUUUUAGACCUUGUUUCCCCCUAAUUGCCUCCAACACCCAGGAAAUUUAAACCCCACAAGUAAACCGUGUCUCGAUUCAUUCACAGCGUCCUUUGGAGCAGGCAGUCCCUUGCUCUAAGACGUUCUUGUCACCUAAGCACCAAGCACAGCCUGAGAACGCACAACACGCACUCACACAAACUCAGACAGACAACAGGUGAGAUAUGGCACGUGAGGAGGAAGACAAGAUAAAUGAGCUUCACCGUCGACCCAGAUCCGACAAGAAGUGACACACGCAGCCUGUUCGGGUACAGAUCUGAGUCCACAAAUACCUCCCAGAGACGCCACCAUCCCUUCUGGUAGAAGAGCAGCCCAGCGGCCCACGCUGCUAGGAAGGGAGACUGUCUCCAGCCUGACGCUGCAGAGUCCUCAACACAAAGUCUACCUUCUGGAACCAUGCCGUCUCCUACAGAAGCAACUAGGGGCAUGUAGGGUUUUUUAAAAUCUUUUUUUUCUUAAGACAGAGUCUCCCUCUGUCACCCAGGCUGGAGUGCAGUGGCUCGAUCUCGGCUUGCUGUAACCUCUGCCUCUCGAGUUCAAGUGAUUCUUCUGCCUCGGCCUCCCGAGUAGCUGGGAUUACAGGCGCCUGUCACCACGCCCAACUAAUUUUUUAUAUAUUUAAGUACAGAUGGGAUUUCACCUUGUUGGUCAGGCUGGUCUUGAACACCUGACUUCACAUGAUCCACCCGCCUCGACCUCCCAAACUGCUGGGAACACACGCAUGAGCCACGGUGCCCGGCCCAUAUAGCUAUUUAAAUUUGACUAAAAUUAAAUAAAAUUAGAAGUUCUCAUUUACACUUCAAGCAUUCAGUUACCCACAGGCGGCCACUGACCAGAGGCUGGUAGAGAUGUCACACUCCACACUGUAGAAGGAUCUAGGGACGAAAUGGCUCUAAGAUCAUCUCGACAUCUUUAUGUUGAAGCUACUGAAGUUUUACUCUGAUUAUUAUAGACAUCAGCAUUCUCCCACUUUAAAAUGUCAGAGCUAUUGCAAUGAUCAGCUCUGUGGCUUCCCAGCAGCUCUUCUCUUCCUGGAUAGAUAACUGUAGAGCAUCUGCACUCUGCCUCCACACUAAGGGAUAGUAGAAGCCUCCGUAUAAAAUCAGGGGGAGAAAAAAAAAUGAAUCCCUAGUCCGCCUCCCCCCCUAUGAUUUUGUGAAACUCCUCUUAAUAUGCAGAAUAACUGCCAGAGUUGCAAUAAAGAAGCAUCCCUUGACCAGGAAGCAGCAGGGAAGCAAGAGGAGGGAGAUGCAAAGACCCUCCGUUCCCUCUGGGACCCCAGGCCCAGCCAGGACUGAGAAGGGCCGCACAGCCCGGCAGACCCGCACACCUGAUGCGAACCAUACACACGGCUUCCCUGGGCCUCGGUCCCCUGCUCUGCCCUCACUGGCCACUGUGGCUCUGGGUAGAGGCAGCUCCCUGAGCCCCAACACCCACAGCCAGUCCCCUCCUUGCAAGUCUCAGCUGUGCUUUGACUGCCUCCCUGAUGCUUCUCAUCAUCAUCUGCGUACCGUGUCCCCUCUACCCCACAGCCCUUGCUACCGCCCACCCCACCACGGAGCCUAGCACACAGCAGGUGCCCGAGACGCCCCAACGGGCGGGCAUGCCAGGGUAGGGCUUGGAGUUCCAAGGGCCAUGUCCCGCAUACCACCACAAGUGCCGCGGAGGCUGUGGAAGGGGUCCAGGUUUCAGCCCUGCACUCAGCUUCUCCUGGCCCCCGAGGCCAAGAACCUAGCAAGGGAGCGCAGCGGGAAGCUGGGUCCCAAACCCACUUCCUGCUCCUCAAGAGGAAGGGGGCCUCGGGGCACAACCCCACGAGCACCUUUCCUCCUGCCAGGCUGCCUGUCACAGCACCAACACCUUCACCGCAGGGAAACCCACCUCUGUGAGGAGAAAACCAAGUACCACAGGAGCCACGUCCCCCGCAGCGUCUGCUGAGCCCAAUAGCGACAGCAGCAGCCGGGUCCCCACUCAGCACACACCGACUCGGAACCCGCCAGGCACACUACAACACCAACCAUCUUGAAGCUCAGCUUCGACUCAUCAGGGCUCUCUUCCAUGAAAGCUAGGCAUGUCUAUCUUCCCUGGGCUCACAGAAAGGAGAGUGACUCAGCCCCGAGUGUGAACAGAGUCAAGCUCCCACUAGCUGUACAGACAACCUCCCUUGCCCUGUCCUGGGAAGGAGCCAAGCGCAAAUAGCCAUCUUUUGCCCGCACAGGUACGGAAUUCAGUCAGUUCUCUCAAUGGAGUUGUGACAGGUCAACUCCAGGCUCCUCAGUGCUCUGGGGUUCACCUCGGGCCACUGCACCUUUGAAACGUGGCUGUGGACUCCUCUAGGGUGCACAGUGUCACGGCCAUUUCAUUCAGAUACUGCAGGCCCCUGCCGUGGAGUCAGUACCCAGGACACCCCUGCCGGCAUCCUCCGAGAUGCUGCUGCAGCUGCUGUGAUCUGAGAACAGCCAUGCACAGGCAUCAAAGGGAGGGCUUCUCAAAUCUUUUCCAGGAGCAGUGGCUACAGCUUUGGAAGACGUUGCACUGAAUCCUGGGUGAUCGUGGCUUGGUCUGCAAUCUAAACCUAGUUGCUAGGGAGACACACUCUGUUGUAAUUGACAGAGGCUUUUGGUGGCAGCUCUACCAAGACCAAGAAUGGCAACUAAUCUGAGAUUUACUAUCCAUACUUUCUAUUUGAUGUUUAAAAGGAAAGCAUCGUGAAGUUCCAGUAGCAAGGAAUUUUCUAUAAUCUAUCACACAUCAAGAUAUAGCAGAAAUGUAGCUAAAAUGUUCAUAGGAUCUAUGCAGAGGAAGAGACGGGUCUAUUUCAGGAAAAGUGCUUGCUGGCUUUUAAGAAACAUAGUGAAAUCCCUGCCAAGUAAAAGAUUGUUUAUACUUUUGCUUUGGAAACGGAGGGAAAGUUCUUUCUUAUUAUUUGAAUACAUUAACUGUAUUUAAGUGUUCUGGUAGAUUAAGUAUUAAACAUUCAAAAGGAA